Molecule: ribosomal RNA, 406 nt
Filed under: uncultured bacterium
Lineage: Bacteria
Description: partial 16S ribosomal RNA
Rfam family: Bacterial small subunit ribosomal RNA
Source: RNAcentral
AUUGAACGCUGGCGGCAGGCCUAACACAUGCAAGUCGAACGAGUGGCGGACGGGUGCGUAAUGUCUGGGAAACUGCUCGAUGGAGGGGGCUAACUACUGGAAACGGUAGCUAAUACCGCAUACCAUCGGAUGUGCCCAGAUGGGAUUAGAUAGUAGGUGGGGUAAAGGAUCACCUAGGCGACGAUCCCUAGCUGGGCUGAGAGGCUGACCAGCCACACUGGAACUGAGACACGGGCCAGACGCCUACGGGAGGCAGCAGUGGGGAAUAUUGCACAAUGGACGCAAGCCUGAUGGAGCCAUGCCGCGUGUAUGAAGAAGGCCUUCGGGUUGUAAAGUACUUUGAGCGAGGAGGCGUUACUCGCAGAAGAAGCAUCGGAUAACUCCGUGCCAGCAGCCGCGGUAAUAC